UACGUAGGGUGCGAGCGUUAAUCGGAAUUACUGGGCGUAAAGGGUGCGCAGGCGGCUCUGUAAGUCAGAUGUGAAAUCCCCGGGCUUAACCUGGGAAUUGCGUUUGAAACUACAGGGCUAGAGUGUAGCAGAGGGGGGUGGAAUUCCAUGUGUAGCAGUGAAAUGCGUAGAGAUGUGGAGGAAUACCGAUGGCGAAGGCAGCCCCCUGGGCCAAUACUGACGCUCAUGCACGAAAGCGUGGGGAGCAAACAGG
Molecule: ribosomal RNA, 253 nt
Filed under: uncultured bacterium
Lineage: Bacteria
Description: partial 16S ribosomal RNA
Rfam family: Bacterial small subunit ribosomal RNA
Source: RNAcentral